UACGGGGGGGGCAAGCGUUGUUCGGAAUUACUGGGCGUAAAGGGCUCGUAGGUGGCCAACUAAGUCAGACGUGAAAUCCCUCAGCUUAACUGGGGAACUGCGUCUGAUACUGGAUGGCUUGAGAUUGGGAGAGGGAUGCGGAAUUCCAGGUGUAGCGGUGAAAUGCGCAGAUAUCAGGAGGAACACCGGUGGCGAAGGCGGGUCUCUGGGCCGAUACUGACGCUGAGGAGCGAAAGCGUGGGGAGCGAACAGG
Molecule: ribosomal RNA, 253 nt
Filed under: uncultured bacterium
Lineage: Bacteria
Description: partial 16S ribosomal RNA
Rfam family: Bacterial small subunit ribosomal RNA
Source: RNAcentral